UACGGGGGGAGCAAGCGUUGUUCGGAUUUACUGGGCGUAAAGGGCGCGUAGGCGGCGUGGUAAGUCACUUGUGAAAUCUCUGAGCUUAACUCAGAACGGCCAAGUGAUACUGCUGUGCUAGAGUGCAGAAGGGGCAAUCGGAAUUCUUGGUGUAGCGGUGAAAUGCGUAGAUAUCAAGAGGAACACCUGAGGUGAAGACGGGUUGCUGGGCUGACACUGACGCUGAGGCGCGAAAGCCAGGGGAGCAAACGGG
This 253-nucleotide ribosomal RNA is filed under the name uncultured bacterium. RNAcentral describes it as "partial 16S ribosomal RNA". It matches the Rfam family "Bacterial small subunit ribosomal RNA", at positions 524 to 776 of the family's 1533-position model. The record is from RNAcentral.